RNAcentral lists this ribosomal RNA (575 nucleotides) under uncultured bacterium. RNAcentral's name for it is "partial 16S ribosomal RNA". It matches the Rfam family "Bacterial small subunit ribosomal RNA", at positions 357 to 922 of the family's 1533-position model. The record is from RNAcentral.
UGGGAAUUUGGACAAUGGGCGAAAGCCUGAUCCAGCAAUGCCGCGUGUGUGAAGAAGGCCUUCGGGUUGUAAAGCACUUUUGUCCGGAAAGAAAUCCUUGGCUCUAAUACAGUCGGGGGAUGACGGUACCGGAAGAAUAAGCACCGGCUAACUACGUGCCAGCAGCCGCGGUAAUACGUAGGGUGCAAGCGUUAAUCGGAAUUACUGGGCGUAAAGCGUGCGCAGGCGGUUUGCUAAGACCGAUGUGAAAUCCCCGGGCUCAACCUGGGAACUGCAUUGGUGACUGGCAGGCUAGAGUAUGGCAGAGGGGGGUAGAAUUCCACGUGUAGCAGUGAAAUGCGUAGAGAUGUGGAGGAAUACCGAUGGCGAAGGCAGCCCCCUGGGCCAAUACUGACGCUCAUGCACGAAAAGCGUGGGGAGCAAAACAGGAUUUAGAUACCCUGGUAGUCCACGCCCUAAACGAUGUCAACUAGUUGUUGGGGAUUCAUUUCCUUAGUAACGUAGCUAACGCGUGAAGUUGACCGCCUGGGGAGUACGGUCGCAAGAUUAAAACUCAAAGGAAUUGACGGGGUCAU